Molecule: ribosomal RNA, 497 nt
Filed under: uncultured bacterium
Lineage: Bacteria
Description: partial 16S ribosomal RNA
Rfam family: Bacterial small subunit ribosomal RNA
Source: RNAcentral
GAUGAACGCUGGCGGCGUGCCAAAUACAUGCAAGUCGAGCGAACAGAUGAGGAGCUUGCUCCUCUGACGUUAGCGGCGGACGGGUGAGUAACACGUGGAUAACCUACCUAUAAGACUGGGAUAACUUCGGGAAACCGGAGCUAAUACCGGAUAAUAUAUUGAACCGCAGGGUUCAAUAGUGAAAGACGGUUUUGCUGUCACUUAUAGAUGGAUCCGCGCCGCAUUAGCUAGUUGGUAAGGUAACGGCUUACCAAGGCAACGAUGCGUAGCCGACCUGAGAGGGUGAUCGGCCACACUGGAACUGAGACACGGUCCAGACUCCUACGGGAGGCAGCAGUAGGGAAUCUUCCGCAAUGGGCGAAAGCUUGACGGAGCAACGCCGCGUGAGUGAUGAAGGUCUUCGGAUCGUAAAACUCUGUUAUUAGGGAAGAACAAAUGUGUAAGUAACUAUGCACGUCUUGACGGUACCUAAUCAGAAAGCCACGGCUAACUACGUG